Long non-coding RNA from Carya illinoinensis, 1203 nucleotides. RefSeq lists it as uncharacterized. Lineage: Eukaryota; Viridiplantae; Streptophyta; Magnoliopsida; Fagales; Juglandaceae. The record is from RefSeq and is a predicted model, not a curated record. The transcript has 3 exons.
CAGCCCCGUAGAUGUUUUAUUUUUUAUUUUUUAAACCCUUUCUUGGUUGCCGUCACAACGUGAACCACACAUGCACGUUCUUUCUUAUUUAUUUAUUUAUAUUUCGCCUCUAGGUUUCAGCCAUCUAACCUCUAUUUUUAGAUGCACUUUCACGUCUAUUAGGAAUACAGUGCUACUGCCGCCAGCCUCAUCCAAAGCCAAACCUCUUCCGUCGCACUCCCUGCACCUUCACAGAAUCACCUUGCAGCCGCAGCAAACCACUGACCCACGUUGCCGUGACCCCAUGCCUUCGCGCCGCACCACCUUCAAGUAAUCACCACCCUUGCUCCUCUAUAGCACCUUACACGUCGGAAACAUCCCACGGCAGCAACCCACGCGUUGCAUGCCCUUCCCGAGUCCAAGAGCCACUGCACCUCCUCUUGGCCGUCACCAUCUCACCACACGGUACCACUCUGCACCACCACAGCCCGCAGCUUCCUCCAGUGCCAAGACUCCUUCUCUCCACAGAACCACCAUGUCGUCAGCCCGAUUUCCGUUGACCCAUAUUCCUCAGCCGUCCAACACCGAAGCACUGCCUCACACGGCACCGAAGCACCUCUGUUUUGGUUCUCAAAAACAGAGCAACCCGAGCGACUCCACCCCUCCCACGAAGAAACCUCCAGCUUGCCCGCAACCAUGAGAACCAGUAACUCAAGUCUAGCUCAGCCACAUGAAACCGAAACCACCCCUGUUUUUGAUUCCCGAAAACAGAGCAUGGGAAGCUCUCCCCAUACUCUCUGUUUCCAGCCUUGCUACACGCCGGAAACUACCCAAAAACAAAACCCACAGAAACCGCCUUCCGUUUCCCCCUCGGGUCCGUCGUUCGGCAAGCUGCGUGCGCAGCCUCCCAACCGUGUCUCAGCCAUCUCCCAGCUGUCCCAACGAUAAUUUUGAUGGUUCAGCUGGAGAUCAAGAGUAGGAAUUUUAGCAAGGUGUGAUGAUCGUAUUGAAAUAAGUGUCCGAGAGUACAAGUGCUUAUUUGAGAGGCGUAGUUAGUAAAUUGAUUUCUUUUUGGAUAUGUUGAUUUGAUGAGUUAAGGAUAUUUUCGGGUCUUUGAGGAGUUUUUAAUUUAUAUUAUUGAGAAAUUCUUUGUAGUCCCUAUGAAGGAACGUGGAUAUUUGGAUUUUGUGAAUAAAUGAAUAUUUUAUGGAGUUUUCUGAAUUU